UGUCACAGACUACAUUCUGUAGUUAUACUGUAAUGAAGCACUGGAGAAACAACAAAAAACAACAAGCAAGCAAUACUGCAGUGUGCUGCUUCUAUAUAAAGGUGUAUAUGAAUAAGAUUAAUAUAACGGAAUGUGACUAUCUAAUAACCACAACCAAUGUAUAAUACACUGUAUGUUGUUUAUUUGUCAGUGAUGAAUUUGCCUUUGACAGUGUGGCCGGUGGGGAGGAGUCCCAGGAUGUUGGUGAUGAGAUUGAUACAAACCAUGACAUGGGUGAGAAAUGCUUAG
Molecule: long non-coding RNA, 288 nt
Filed under: Oncorhynchus mykiss (rainbow trout)
Lineage: Eukaryota; Metazoa; Chordata; Actinopteri; Salmoniformes; Salmonidae
Description: lncRNA (ENSOMYG00000045805.2)
Source: RNAcentral